RNAcentral lists this ribosomal RNA (331 nucleotides) under uncultured bacterium. RNAcentral's name for it is "bacterial SSU rRNA". It matches the Rfam family "Bacterial small subunit ribosomal RNA", at positions 28 to 353 of the family's 1533-position model. The record is from RNAcentral.
GACGAACGCUGGCGGCGUGCCUAAUACAUGCAAGUAGAACGCUGAAGGAGGAGCUUGCUUCUCCGGAUGAGUUGCGAACGGGUGAGUAACGCGUAGGUAACCUGCCUGGUAGCGGGGGAUAACUAUUGGAAACGAUAGCUAAUACCGCAUAACAGUAGAUAUUGCAUGAUAUCUGCUUGAAAGGUGCAAUUGCAUCACUACCAGAUGGACCUGCGUUGUAUUAGCUAGUUGGUGAGGUACGCUCACCAAGGCGACGAUACAUAGCCGACCUGAGAGGGUGAUCGGCCACACUGGGACUGAGACACGGCCCAGACUCCGUACGGGAGCAGCA